RNAcentral lists this transfer RNA (72 nucleotides) under Candidatus Ryanbacteria bacterium RIFCSPLOWO2_02_FULL_45_11c. RNAcentral's name for it is "tRNA-Arg". It matches the Rfam family "tRNA". From Rfam's summary of the family: Transfer RNA (tRNA) molecules are approximately 80 nucleotides in length. Lineage: Bacteria; Candidatus Ryaniibacteriota. The record is from RNAcentral.
GAUCCCGUCGUUCAAUGGAUAGGACACAAGCUUGCGGAGCUUGUAAUAGGGGUUCGACUCCUCUCGGGAUCA